This 87-nucleotide transfer RNA is filed under the name Candidatus Rokuibacteriota bacterium. RNAcentral's name for it is "tRNA-Leu". It matches the Rfam family "tRNA". From Rfam's summary of the family: Transfer RNA (tRNA) molecules are approximately 80 nucleotides in length. Their secondary structure includes four short double-helical elements and three loops (D, anti-codon, and T loops). Further hydrogen bonds mediate the characteristic L-shaped molecular structure. tRNAs have two regions of fundamental functional importance: the anti-codon, which is responsible for specific mRNA codon recognition, and the 3' end, to which the tRNAs corresponding amino acid is attached (by aminoacyl-tRNA synthetases). tRNAs cope with the degeneracy of the genetic code in two manners: having more than one tRNA (with a specific anti-codon) for a particular amino acid; and 'wobble' base-pairing, i.e. permitting non-standard base-pairing at the 3rd anti-codon position. The record is from RNAcentral. Lineage: Bacteria; Candidatus Rokuibacteriota.
GCGAGAGUGGCGGAACUGGCAGACGCGCUGGACUUAGGAUCCAGUGGGGGAAACUCCUUGGGGGUUCAACUCCCCCCUCUCGCACCA